This 463-nucleotide ribosomal RNA is filed under the name uncultured bacterium. RNAcentral describes it as "bacterial SSU rRNA". It matches the Rfam family "Bacterial small subunit ribosomal RNA", at positions 337 to 797 of the family's 1533-position model. The record is from RNAcentral.
ACCUACGGGAGGCAGCAGUGAGGAAUAUUGGACAAUGGGCGCAAGCCUGAUCCAGCCAUGCCGCGUGCAGGAAGAAGCAUCUAUGGUGUGUAAACUGCUUUUGUACGGGAAGAAACACUCCCUCGUGAGGGAGCUUGACGGUACCGUAAGAAUAAGGAUCGGCUAACUCCGUGCCAGCAGCCGCGGUAAUACGGAGGAUCCAAGCGUUAUCCGGAAUCAUUGGGUUUAAAGGGUCCGUAGGCGGUUUAGUAAGUCAGUGGUGAAAGCCCAUCGCUCAACGAUGGAACGGCCAUUGACACUGCUAGACUUGAAUUAUUAGGAAGUAACUAGAAUAUGUAGUGUAGCGGUGAAAUGCUUAGAUAUUACAUGGAAUACCAAUUGCGAAGGCAGGUCACUACUAAUGGAUUGACGCUGAUGGACGAAAGCGUGGGGAGCGAACAGGAUUAGAAACCCUUGUAGUCCC